GCCGUUGUAGCUCAAGCAGAGCGGCGGGCAUUUAACCCGCGUCACAUGGACGAUACGCAAGAGCUGAUUCUUCCCGGGCCUGUCACCGGGAAGCGGAUGCCCUUGUGGUGCUGGUUCAAGUCCAGCCUUCGGCU
This 134-nucleotide transfer RNA is filed under the name Caudoviricetes sp. RNAcentral describes it as "tRNA-OTHER". It matches the Rfam family "tRNA". From Rfam's summary of the family: Transfer RNA (tRNA) molecules are approximately 80 nucleotides in length. Their secondary structure includes four short double-helical elements and three loops (D, anti-codon, and T loops). Further hydrogen bonds mediate the characteristic L-shaped molecular structure. tRNAs have two regions of fundamental functional importance: the anti-codon, which is responsible for specific mRNA codon recognition, and the 3' end, to which the tRNAs corresponding amino acid is attached (by aminoacyl-tRNA synthetases). tRNAs cope with the degeneracy of the genetic code in two manners: having more than one tRNA (with a specific anti-codon) for a particular amino acid; and 'wobble' base-pairing, i.e. permitting non-standard base-pairing at the 3rd anti-codon position. Lineage: Duplodnaviria; Heunggongvirae; Uroviricota; Caudoviricetes. The record is from RNAcentral.